Scatophagus argus is the source of this 538-nucleotide long non-coding RNA. RefSeq lists it as uncharacterized. The record is from RefSeq and is a predicted model, not a curated record. NCBI's taxonomy places the organism in Eukaryota, Metazoa, Chordata, Actinopteri, Scatophagidae. The transcript has 2 exons.
UUAUGUGCAUGUUGUGUUGAACGUAGGUAAGUGUGUUAUAGUAUGUUGUGUAUAUCAUGUUUGCUUGUAUUUAUGUACGUACAUCCAUACAUAUUAUUGUAUGUAUACGUUACAGUAUGUUUUACAUGAACGCUUCCAUGUGUGUGGAGGCACAUGGACAUCAUGAGCUUUGAAGCACCAUGUUAACCAGGCACGGAGCUGACAGUAAAAACGUGCUGCUGUGGUCUCUUUUUCAUUAUGGAGAUGUGCAAACAAGGUUCUGUGUGUAGUGUUGUCAGGCUAACAUGUAGGAUGUUCAGAGUGUGGUCUUCAAAGCAAGUCAUUGUGUCUGGAGUCUGAGAAAAGGACUUUUACUGAGGAAUCUGCAUACUGACUCAUAUGUUUGUGUUGAAAUGAAUGGACUCCAGUGAUGCCAAACUGAAAGAGAUCUCCAGCAGUAUUAUACAUGGGAAAUAACGGCAAUAUUGUGUGGCUCCAUGUUGUGAUGAUUAUUCUAAUUUCUGCAUCAGUUAAGUUCAAUAAAUCUUGACCCGCGGCA